Non-coding RNA from Caenorhabditis elegans, 21 nucleotides. Lineage: Eukaryota; Metazoa; Nematoda; Chromadorea; Rhabditida; Rhabditidae. The record is from Ensembl.
UUCCUGCCUCUCAUAUCGAUU